UACGGAGGGGGCUAGCGUUGUUCGGAAUUACUGGGCGUAAAGCGCGCGUAGGCGGACCUGCAAGUCGGGGGUGAAAGCCCGAGGCUCAACCUCGGAACUGCCUUCGAUACUGCGGGUCUCGAGUCCGGGAGAGGUGAGUGGAAUUCCUAGUGUAGAGGUGAAGUUCGUAGAUAUUAGGAGGAACACCAAUUGCGAAGGCAGCUCGCUGGGACGUUACUGACGCUGAGACGCGAAAGCGUGGGGAGCAAACAGG
Molecule: ribosomal RNA, 253 nt
Filed under: uncultured bacterium
Lineage: Bacteria
Description: partial 16S ribosomal RNA
Rfam family: Bacterial small subunit ribosomal RNA
Source: RNAcentral